ACACUCACAUCAGCAGCACAUAUACUAAAAUUGAACAAUAUAUAGAAGAUAAGCAUGGCUGCUGUGAAAGUAUGACGCAAAUCUGUGAAGCAUUACAUUUCUUU
Jaculus jaculus (lesser Egyptian jerboa) is the source of this 104-nucleotide small nuclear RNA. The record is from RefSeq and is a predicted model, not a curated record. NCBI's taxonomy places the organism in Eukaryota, Metazoa, Chordata, Mammalia, Rodentia, Dipodidae.